UGUGUCAGCGGUCUUUCUGAAGGAC
Molecule: non-coding RNA, 25 nt
Filed under: Rattus norvegicus (Norway rat)
Lineage: Eukaryota; Metazoa; Chordata; Mammalia; Rodentia; Muridae
Source: RNAcentral